Molecule: ribosomal RNA, 122 nt
Filed under: Esox lucius (northern pike)
Lineage: Eukaryota; Metazoa; Chordata; Actinopteri; Esociformes; Esocidae
Source: RNAcentral
GCUUACGGCCACACCUCCCUCGAGCACGCCCGAUCUCGUCUGAUCUCGGAAGCUAAGCAGGGUCGGGCCCGGUUAGUACUUGGAUGGGAGAGACCGCCUGGGAAUACCAGGGCUGGUAAGCC